AGUGAACGCUGGCGGUAGGCCUAACACAUGCAAGUCGAACGGCAGCACAGUAAGAGCUUGCUCUUACGGGUGGCGAGUGGCGGACGGGUGAGGAAUACAUCGGAAUCUACUUUUUCGUGGGGGAUAACGUAGGGAAACUUACGCUAAUACCGCAUACGACCUACGGGUGAAAGCAGGGGAUCUUCGGACCUUGCGCGAUUGAAUGAGACGAUGUCGGAUUAGCUAGUUGGCGGGGUAAAGGCCCACCAGGGCGACGAUCCGUAGCUGGUCUGAGAGGAUGGUCGGCCACACGGAAACUAGGACACGGUCCAGACUCCUACGGGAGGCAGCAGUGGGGAAUAUUGGACAAUGGGCGCAAGCCUGAUCCAGCCAUACCGCGUGGGUGAAGAAGGCCUUCGGGUUGUAAAGCCCUUUUGUUGGGAAAGAAAAGCAGCAGGUUAAUACCCCGCUGUUCUGACGGUACCCAAAGAAUAAGCACCGGCUAACUUCGU
RNAcentral lists this ribosomal RNA (491 nucleotides) under uncultured bacterium. RNAcentral's name for it is "partial 16S ribosomal RNA". It matches the Rfam family "Bacterial small subunit ribosomal RNA", at positions 29 to 506 of the family's 1533-position model. The record is from RNAcentral.